AUGCUUAACACAUGCAAGUCGAACGGUAACAUGGAGAGCUUGCUCUCUGAUGACGAGUGGCGGACGGGUGAGUAAGGCGUAGGAAUCUGCCCAACAGUGGGGAAUAACCUGGGGAAACCCAGGCUAAUACCGCAUACGCUCUGUACUUAGGUAGAGAGGAAAGCGGGGGCCCUUUUCGAAGGCCUCGCGCUGAUGGAUGAGCCUACGUCCGAUUAGCUAGUUGGUAGGGUAAGAGCCUACCAAGGCGACGAUCGGUAGCUGGUCUUAGCGGAUGAUCAGCCACACUGGGACUGAGACACGGCCCAGACUCCUACGGGAGGCAGCAGUGGGGAAUAUUGGACAAUGGGGGCAACCCUGAUCCAGCAAUGCCGCGUGUGUGAAGAAGGCCUGCGGGUUGUAAAGCACUUUCAGUGGUGAGGAAAGCUCACGCGUUAAUAGCGCGGGAGGGUGACGUUAGCCACAGAAGCAGCACCGGCUAACUCCGUG
RNAcentral lists this ribosomal RNA (486 nucleotides) under uncultured bacterium. Its description in RNAcentral is "bacterial SSU rRNA". It matches the Rfam family "Bacterial small subunit ribosomal RNA", at positions 44 to 507 of the family's 1533-position model. The record is from RNAcentral.